AUGAAAAUCAGUGCUUGGAAGGAAAAGUUGCUAUCAGCAGGAGGAAAAAAAAUCCUUCUCAAAUCGGUUGUACAAGCUAUCCCAACUUAUGCAAUGUCCGUCUUUAAAAUUCCUAAAAAGAUUUGUAAACGAAUCAUUGACGCGAUGUCGCAUUUUUGGUGGGGUGACGAAGACAAUCAGAAGAGAAUGCAUUGGAUGGCAUGGUGGAAGAUGUGUGUACCAAAAGACCAAGGAGGAAUGGGUUUUCGAGACAUACAUUGUUUCAAUCUGGCCUUGUUAGCUAAACAAGCGUGGCGCCUGCUUGAUAACCCUGAUUCCCUAUGUGCCACCGUCUUGAGAGCUAAAUAUUUUCCAGAUGGAGAUUUAAUGAAUACGGGUCUGAAAAAAGGAUCCUCUUUCACUUGGCAAAGCAUUAUGGCCGGAGUGGAUUCUCUCAAAAAAGGUUAUAUUUGGAGAGUUGGUAAUGGACGGAAUAUUGAUAUCUGGAGAGAUGCAUGGAUCCCGAAUGGGGCAAAUAGGAAAAUUAUCACUCCUAGAAGAGGGCAGAUUCUAACAAAAGUUGCUGAUCUUAUAGAUCCAAUCAACAAUUGCUGGGAUGAAGAUUUGGUAAGACAAACAUUGUGGCCAAUUGAUGUCCAGAGGGUGCUUACGAUCCCCCUCCCCACGUAUGACAUGUCGGAUUUCAUAGCUUGGAGCUUUACAAAGAAUGGA
RNAcentral lists this ribosomal RNA (711 nucleotides) under Triticum aestivum (bread wheat). RNAcentral's name for it is "partial small subunit ribosomal RNA". Lineage: Eukaryota; Viridiplantae; Streptophyta; Magnoliopsida; Poales; Poaceae. The record is from RNAcentral.